GGGGAUUUAGCUCAGUGGUAGAGCGCUUGCCUAGCAAGCGUGAGGCCCUGGGUUCGGUCCCCAGCUCCU
RNAcentral lists this transfer RNA (69 nucleotides) under Rattus norvegicus (Norway rat). It matches the Rfam family "tRNA". From Rfam's summary of the family: Transfer RNA (tRNA) molecules are approximately 80 nucleotides in length. Their secondary structure includes four short double-helical elements and three loops (D, anti-codon, and T loops). Lineage: Eukaryota; Metazoa; Chordata; Mammalia; Rodentia; Muridae. The record is from Rfam by way of RNAcentral.